GACGAACGCUGGCGGCGUGCUUAACACAUGCAAGUCGAACGAAGAGCGAUGGAAGCUUGCUUCUAUCAAUCUUAGUGGCAAACGGGUGAGUAACGCGUAAUCAACCUGCCCUUCAGAGGGGGACAACAGUUGGAAACGACUGCUAAUACCGCAUACGAUCUAACCUCGGCAUCGAGGAUAGAUGAAAGGUGGCCUCUACAUGUAAGCUAUCACUGAAGGAGGGGAUUGCGUCUGAUUAGCUAGUUGGAGGGGUAACGGCCCACCAAGGCGAUGAUCAGUAGCCGGUCUGAGAGGAUGAACGGCCACAUUGGGACUGAGACACGGCCCAGACUCCUACGGGAGGCAGCAGUGGGGAAUCUUCCGCAAUGGACGAAAGUCUGACGGAGCAACGCCGCGUGAGUGAUGACGGCCUUCGGGUUGUAAAGCUCUGUUAAUCGGGACGAAAGGCCUUCUUGCGAAUAGUGAGAAGGAUUGACGGUACCGGAAUAGAAAGCCACGGCUAACUACGUG
RNAcentral lists this ribosomal RNA (510 nucleotides) under uncultured bacterium. Its description in RNAcentral is "partial 16S ribosomal RNA". It matches the Rfam family "Bacterial small subunit ribosomal RNA", at positions 28 to 507 of the family's 1533-position model. The record is from RNAcentral.